This 741-nucleotide ribosomal RNA is filed under the name uncultured bacterium. Its description in RNAcentral is "bacterial SSU rRNA". It matches the Rfam family "Bacterial small subunit ribosomal RNA", at positions 223 to 960 of the family's 1533-position model. The record is from RNAcentral.
GGAUGGGCAUGCGGCGCAUUAGCUAGUUGGCGGGGCAACGGCCCACCAAGGCGACGAUGCGUAGGGGUUCUGAGAGGAAGGUCCCCCACACUGGUACUGAGACACGGACCAGACUCCUACGGGAGGCAGCAGUGAGGAAUAUUGGUCAAUGGGCGCAGGCCUGAACCAGCCAAGUCGCGUGAGGGAGGACGGUCCUACGGAUUGUAAACCUCUUUUGUCGGGGAGUAACGUGCGGGACGCGUCCCGUAUUGAGAGUACCCGAAGAAAAAGCAUCGGCUAACUCCGUGCCAGCAGCCGCGGUAAUACGGAGGAUGCGAGCGUUAUCCGGAUUUAUUGGGUUUAAAGGGUGCGCAGGCGGCGCGCCAAGUCAGCGGUCAAAGUUCCGGGCUCAACCCGGUGUCGCCGUUGAAACUGGCGUGCUCGAGUGCGUGCGAGGAAGGCGGAAUGCGUUGUGUAGCGGUGAAAUGCAUAGAUAUGACGCAGAACUCCGAUUGCGAAGGCAGCUUUCCAGCGCGCUACUGACGCUGAGGCACGAAAGCGUGGGGAUCGAACAGGAUUAGAUACCCUGGUAGUCCACGCAGUAAAUGAUGACUACUAGCUUUCCGGGAUGAUUGAGUCCUGGGAGGCACAGCGAAAGCGUUAAGUAGUCCACCUGGGGGAGUACGCCGGCAACGGUGAAACUCAAAGGAAUUGACGGGGGCCCGCACAAGCGGAGGAACAUGUGGUUUAAUUCGAUGAUAC